GGUGCAUCAGGAGGUUAUGCGCCCGCAGGUGUGUCUGCUGCUUCUGCUCCGAACCGCGUUUAAAAUCUCACGCUAGACUUACCGGUUACGCACAGAUGAGCGGCCGCCUCUCUUUUAAGGAGAUAAAACUGUGAGAGUCAAACCGGCUCUUGUGAAUUCUUUUGUUUCCCGCAAGGAAAACGACAUGCACACUCGGCCUUACCAUGUCCUGGUUGUUGGCCAUGUGGAUUAGCCUCGGCUUCCUGCUGCUGUGCCAGGCAACUCUCUACCAGACCAUCCAACAGCACCAUGUGGCCCGGCCUGGUCGCACUGACAUUCUCACCCUGGAGGGUGGUACGUGCGAGGUGAUUGCUGCCCACCGAUGCUGUAACAAGAAUCGUAUCGAGGAGCGCUCUCAGACAGUCAAGUGCUCCUGUUUACCGGGGAAAGUGGCCGGGACGACACGCAACAAACCCUCCUGUGUGGAUGCGUCCAUUGUAAUUGGGAAAUGGUGGUGUGAGAUGGAACCGUGUCUGGAGGGAGAAGAGUGUAAGACUCUGCCUGACAACUCUGGAUGGAUGUGCUCCUCUGGGAACAAAAUCAAGACCACAAGGUGCUUGGUGACAAUGACUUUGAAUAGCAGCAGAGGCUAAUGUGAUAGUAGAGAAACGGGGAACAGCCAGUGAAGGCUAGACGUCAUGGGGCUUCCCAAGGUUGUUCUGUAGAUUUAUGUGCCAGCAGAUAGACAUAAAGCUUUCAAAGGGGCCCCUCACAGCCAUCGCAGGCUUAAAAUUUUCAGAAAGGAGUUGAUCGAAUGGGGUCUUGCCAGCUUGUCAAGAACACCCAGCCAUACUCCCCUUUUUAGCUUCCGGAAGCAAAAUGCAGAGGAUGCGUCAACAGAAAUUGAGCUGCAUUCUUGCUUCUGUAAAGAUUCAUCCCAGGACCUAACAGAGAGCUCCCAUUGCAGGGCUCAGCGCCAGGCUCCUUCCCCUCAUGUACCCUUUCUCUUCUCAUCGAAUGGACUAAAACUAUUACAUCCACGACUACUGACUGGAUUACCUGGGACCAUAGAAAGGAUAUCCACCCAGAUAAAACGGCUUUGCUCGCGUGGUGCCAAGGAUUUGAAACCAGACUAAUCCCGUGUUUGAUCAAUGAGCUCCAUGUUGGUGACUCUCCUCUUCCACACAGCUGUGGCCAGUUUCUGACCUACUCUUCCCUCACUCUGUUUCCCUCUACAGAACUGAAGCAGCUUAGCAGGGGCUAUUUAGAGGUUGUUAAAACAUAAUUUGAAGACGUUCUCCCCGCCCGUCUGAGGGUGAACUGGCUGGCAAACUUUCAUAGACCUGAACAUGCAAUCUGUGGAACUGAGGGCACAUUGGGGGAAAUUACGUCGCUUUAUUUUUAUUUCUGUGUGGAAAGCAUUUGUAUUUGACUCACUACCUGAGACUGAUGGCUUUGUUGUGGCUGCACCGAGGAAACCAUCAGCUGUAACCGCUAGAAGCCCAUAGUCGAUUAAUGAAGACUCUCAGAGAGGCUUUAGGGUCAACCCCAUGGCCUCACCCUCAUCCUCCACGACGAACAUUCUGACUUUUAUUGGUGGGCAUGCCCAGUGUAAAUUCAUGAGCACUUCUUUUCUUUGUAUGUAAGAUAAUUUGUGUAUAUAUACACAUAUAUAAAUACAUUACAUGUUAAGAUGACAGAUCCAAGAAGCUGAAAAAUAUAUUUACAGAAUUCAAGCCCCGUGUUGGAAUCCUGAAUAACCCUUAAACAUGAGCCAGAGGCUGUCGUCACAGUGCGGUGUGUCUAGGACUGCUUCGCAUUGGAAGAAAAAGCCACAGCGGAAUCAUAAAAAUAAGUUCUGCUCACUUUUGUCAUUCAGCAAUGUUGUUUGGUUACUCCAGAAAGCGCUUGUUGUUUCAGUAAAGCUGAGGAAAACACUGUAUAGAACUGCCUCACUAAAGAAAGCAGCAACACCCACCCAUGACCUUUCCCCUCAGACACAUCAGAGAAACUCUGACCAUAAUAGGACAAUUAAGUUUCUGCAGCGGAGAGCGGUCACGGGUGAGAGUGUCUGUAAUGUAGAUGUUCCUCUUACACACACCAGAGAGAUGAUUUAUUCAAAGUGACAGUGAGAAAGUAUUAGUCACAAAGGAGAAACAUAGUUAUCCCCCAGUAGCUAUAAGUACAUUACAGGACAGCCUUA
This is an RNA transcript of Oreochromis aureus, 2182 nucleotides long. It is a transcript of the gene named chemokine-like protein TAFA-1, with no coding region annotated. The transcript has 7 exons. Lineage: Eukaryota; Metazoa; Chordata; Actinopteri; Cichliformes; Cichlidae. The record is from RefSeq and is a predicted model, not a curated record.